GAAUUUUGCGCAAUGGGCGAAAGCCUGACGCAGCAACGCCGCGUGCGUGAUGAAGGCCUUCGGGUCGUAAAGCUCUGUCAGAGGGGAAGAACCACCUGUCGGCCAAUACCCGGCAGGCCUGACGGUACCCUCAAAGGAAGCACCGGCCAACUCCGUCCCAGCCGCCGCGGUAAUACGGAGGGUGCAAGCGUUGUUCGGAAUUAUUGGGCGUAAAGCGCGUGUAGGUGGUCUGUUAAGUCUGAUGUGAAAGCCCCGGGCUCAACCCGGGAAGUGCAUUGGAAACUGGCAGACUUGAGUACGGGAGAGGGUAGUGGAAUUCCGAGUGUAGGGGUGAAAUCCGUAGAUAUUCGGAGGAACACCGGUGGCGAAGGCGGCUACCUGGACCGAUACUGACGCUGAGACGCGAAAGCGUGGGGAGCAAACAGG
RNAcentral lists this ribosomal RNA (426 nucleotides) under uncultured bacterium. Its description in RNAcentral is "bacterial SSU rRNA". It matches the Rfam family "Bacterial small subunit ribosomal RNA", at positions 359 to 776 of the family's 1533-position model. The record is from RNAcentral.